Molecule: non-coding RNA, 233 nt
Organism: Schizosaccharomyces pombe (fission yeast)
Lineage: Eukaryota; Fungi; Ascomycota; Schizosaccharomycetes; Schizosaccharomycetales; Schizosaccharomycetaceae
Source: the annotation of a GenBank genome assembly
UAGAAUGGUAAAACCAGAAAAGUAAAAUCCUAUAGAGAAACGAGCCCAGCCGAUAGCAAACCAAGACAUCUACCCUAAAUCAGGAUCGUUUUGGAAAUUGAUAGAGUUGCAAUGUAGAUUUAGAUUGCAAGUGUUUCUCGUACAUAUUACUCAAUGGAGACGUCCACCUUCGGCUUCGUGAAUCAACUUCGUUCUCUAUAUUCUGAAGGAUUUCAUUCUCUUCAAAAAACCUU